AUCAAACAGAAUAUAAUUAUUUAAAGCAAAAAAAGAGCAUUUUGUGGAUGUCUAGGUAUUGAUAGAAUGAAGGACGUUAAUGAUAAUUAACGAAAUGAUAUGGGGAUUAUAAAAUAUGAACCAUAUAUCUCCGAAUGGGAAACCAUAAAACUGUACAAUUAUUAGUAAAUGUAUAGUAAAAACUUAGUGAACUGAAACAUCUUAGUAACUAAAGGAAAAGAAAUCAACAGAGAUUCCGUUAGUAGUGGUGAGCGAAUGCGGAUUUUAAACAAAUUAAAUAUAAUAAAAUAGAAUAGAAUUGGAAAAUCUGACCAUAGAAGGUGAUAGUCCUGUAUAAGAAUAAUCAAUUAUAUUUAAUAUAAAGUAAGACGAGACACGUAAAAUCUUGUUUGAAUAUAGGUGGACCGCCAUCUAAGUUUAAAUACUAAUCAAUAACCGAUAGUGAACAAGUACCGUGAGGGAAAGAUGAAAAGAACCAAUUAGGAGUGAAAUAGAUCCUGAAGCAGAAUGUUUACAAGCAGUCAGAACAGUAUUAUAUUGUGAUGGCGUACCUUUUGCAUAAUGGGUUAGUAAGUUUAUUAAUUUAGCAAGCUUAAAUCAAUAGAUGUAGGCGUAGUGAAUGCGAGUAAUAAAAAUACGAUCAGUUAAUUUAAUAAAACCCGAAAUCAAGUGAUCUAGCCAUGAACAGGUUGAAAAUAUUGUAAUAAAUAUGGGAGGACCGAACACGUAUCUGUUGCAAAAGAUUGUGAUGAUUUGUGGUUAGGGGUGAAAGGUUAAUCAAACUUGAAGAUAGCUGGUUUUCCACGAAAUUUAUUUAGGUAAAGCAUUGUAUCUUAUUAAAAUAUUUGAGGUAGAGCACUCGAUAAACUAGGGGGAUUUUUAAUCUUACCAAAUUUAACGAAACUCAUAAUACGAAUAUUAUAUAUACAAUAGACAGACAGUGAGCGCGAAGGUUCAUAGUCAAGAGGGAAACAGCCCAGAUCAUUAGUUAAGGUCCAGAAAUAAUUACUCAGUGGAUAAAGGAUAUUAUAAUAUGAAGACAACCAAAAGAUGGGCUUGGAAGCAGCCAUUCCUUAAAGAAAGCGUAACAGCUCAUUGGUUAAGAUAAUAUAGUACCGAAAAUGUAUAUGGACUAAAGUAAUUUACCGAAACUAUGAAUUAUAUAAUGGUAGUGGAACGUUUUGUAAUUAUGUGAAGUAGUGUUGUGAAACAUCUAUGGAUAAAUCAAAAUUGAUAAUGCUAACAUGAGUAGUAAUAAACAAUCAAACAUUGUCACCGUAAGUUCAAGGUUUUCUUGGCAUUGAUAAACAGCCUAGAGUUAGUCGGUCCCUAAGAUCAAUACGAAAGUAAUAGUCGAUGGGUAUAUUUUUUUUAUUAAAAACUAUUGAUAAGUAACAAAUAUUUAUUUAUUGAUAAAAUAAUCGAAUUUUUCUGUCAAUAAAUAAAUGUUUCAGGAAAAAACAUUCAAAAUAAACCGUACCAAAACCAACACAGGUGAACUAGUAGAGUAUACUAAGGUGAUUGAGAUAAUAAUAUUGAAGGAACUCGGCAAAAUAACUCCGUAACUUCGGAAGAAGGAGUGCCAGUUUAUAAAAAUAAAUUGGCGGCACAGAGCAGAGGGUAGCAACUGUUUAAUAAAAACACAAAACUCUGCAAAAUCGAAAGAUGAAGUAUAGGGUUUGACGCCUGCCCGGUGCUAGAAGAUCAAGAGGAGAGGUUAAUGCUUCGAAUUUAAGUCCUAGUAAACGGCGGCCGUAACCAUAACGGUCCUAAGGUAGCGAAAUUCCUUGACGGGUAAGUUCCGUCCUGCAUGAAUGGCGUAAUGACUUCCCUACUGUCUCCAAUAUUAACUCAAUGAAAUUGAAUUCUCCGUGAAGAUGCGGAGUUCCAGUGGCUAGACGGAAAGACCCCAUGCACCUUUACUAUAUCUAUAUAUUGCUUUUAAUAGUUCAAUGUGUAGUAAUAGGUGGGAGUCUAUACUUUGAUGAGAGUUGAGGUAUAGACGAAAAGUGAAAUACCACUCUUUGAAUCUAUUAAGGCUAAAACAAUAAUUUAAUUAUUUAAAUAUUGAACAUUGUAUAGUUGGUAGUUUGACUGGGGCGGUCAUCUCCCAAAAAGUAACGGAGAUGUGCAAAGGUAGGCUCAUAUUGGUUGGAAAUCAAUAGUAGAGUAUAAUGGCAUAAGCCUGCCUGACUGUAAAACUAACAAGUUAAGCAGAGACUAAAAGUCGGCCAUAAUGAUCCGGUGGUUUCUAAGUGGAAAGGCCAUCGCUCAACGGAUAAAAGGUACGCUGGGGAUAACAGGCUAAUGGUCUUUAAGAGCUCAUAUCGACAAGACCGUUUGGCACCUCGAUGUCGGCUCAUCACAUCCUGGAGUUGAAGAAGAUUCCAAGGGUUUGGCUGUUCGCCAAUUAAAGUGGUACGUGAGCUGGGUUUAGAACGUCGUGAGACAGUUCGGUCCCUAUCUACCACUGGUGUUGAAGAAUUGAAAGUACUUAACCUUAGUACGAGAGGACCAGGGUGAAUAUAGCUCUGAUGUACAAGUUGUUUUAUCAAAAGCAUCGCUUGGUAGUCACCUAUAGAAUAAAUAACUGCUGAAUGCAUAUUAAGUAGGAAUUUAAACUUAAAACAAGUUCUUCUAUAUUAAGAGUUGUUAUAGACUAUAACUAAAUAGGUGAUGUGUAAAAAAAUAGUAAUAUUUAUAUGCUAAAUCAUACUAAUUUAACUCUUAAAGCUUUUUAUAUGAUUCUGUUUGAUCU
This 2758-nucleotide ribosomal RNA is filed under the name Malawimonas californiana (nom. ined.). RNAcentral's name for it is "LSU rRNA". It matches the Rfam family "Bacterial large subunit ribosomal RNA". The record is from RNAcentral. Lineage: Eukaryota; Malawimonada; Malawimonadea; Malawimonadida; Malawimonadidae.